UUGAACGCUGGCGGCAUGCUUUACACAUGCAAGUCGAACGGCAGCGGGGGCUUCGGCCUGCCGGCGAGUGGCGAACGGGUGAGUAAUGCAUCGGAACGUGCCCAGUCAUGGGGGAUAACUACGCGAAAGCGUAGCUAAUACCGCAUACGCCCUGAGGGGGAAAGCGGGGGAUCGCAAGACCUCGCGUGAUUGGAGCGGCCGAUGUCGGAUUAGCUAGUUGGUGGGGUAAAGGCCUACCAAGGCGACGAUCCGUAGCGGGUCUGAGAGGACGACCAGCCACACUGGAACUGAGACACGGUCCAGACUCCUACGGGAGGCAGCAGUGGGGAAUUUUGGACAAGGGGGGCAACCCUGAUCCAGCCAUUCCGCGUGAGUGAAGAAGGCCUUCGGGUUGUAAAACUCUUUCGGCAGGAACGAAACGGUGAGCUCUAACAUAGCUUGCUAAUGACGGUACCUGAAGAAGAAGCACCGGCUAACUACGU
This 482-nucleotide ribosomal RNA is filed under the name uncultured bacterium. RNAcentral describes it as "bacterial SSU rRNA". It matches the Rfam family "Bacterial small subunit ribosomal RNA", at positions 29 to 506 of the family's 1533-position model. The record is from RNAcentral.